Molecule: small nucleolar RNA, 69 nt
Organism: Coturnix japonica (Japanese quail)
Lineage: Eukaryota; Metazoa; Chordata; Aves; Galliformes; Phasianidae
Gene: SNORD58
Rfam family: Small nucleolar RNA SNORD58
About the family: snoRNA U58 is found in introns 1, 3 and 6 of the ribosomal protein RPL17 gene in humans. U58 is a member of the C/D class of snoRNA which contain C (UGAUGA) and D (CUGA) box motifs. Most of the members of the box C/D family function in directing site-specific 2'-O-methylation of substrate RNAs.
Source: Ensembl
UUGCAGUGAUGACUUAUCUUAGGACACCUUUGGAUUUAAUCGUGAAAAGAAAUGUUAUUUCUGAGCAAC